RNAcentral lists this non-coding RNA (27 nucleotides) under Homo sapiens (human). The record is from RNAcentral. Lineage: Eukaryota; Metazoa; Chordata; Mammalia; Primates; Hominidae.
AAGACACUGCGGUGGAAGGUGAGGAGA